GCUCUUGAUCUCCGAUCGCUGCCUCAGCUCUUAUUCGCCUCGUGAGACACAGAGGGAUAAUCGCUGGCACACAAGCGUUAGGGAAAACUGCAUACUGACAUACAUUUUGAGAUUGCAAGAUUUCCUAAUUGCGACACCAGAGGUUCCUGAUUAGCGCUCUGUCGCAUAACAAAGGUGCGAUUGGAGAGCUGAUGAGAGGACAAUUCUGCCAGGAUAGGUGGAUCCAGAAUUGCAAUUUUUUUUUCUUUUUUACGUCAUAAUAGAGGAGACUGUGAUGUACCUCAGGCUUAGCCAAGACUGAGGCCAGACCAGACCCCUGUACUGCAGGAUAAAGCUGAAUGUGCCAGCUCUGGACAGGUUUUUAAUGGUUUUUGGCUGAGCAGGGAGGCCAUUACAGUGCUGCUGGAUCUUCUGAGAAGUGCCACAAUCCAGACCCUGGUAUUUCUCUUCUGUCUGCCAGUGAUACCUCAUACAGAGUGGUCUCCAGAAUGUUUGACAUGUGCCUCGUUCCACUGUCCACUGCAUUGUCCUCCGAGUUGCUGAGGAGGUGCUGGCCAUUCACCAAGAGAUUCACCUCCUGAAGACCCCAAAACACAUGGAGGCAGUGCUGGCCUCAAAACUGAUGUUGUUGAUGUUAAACCUAAGCUAUGUUGUAAAUAGUUGUAAAAAGUACUUUCAGUAAUGUAUUGAACUUUUUGUUUUAAUGUGUAAAAAAGAUUAUUUACAGGACAAAAUAAAUAAAUAAAUAAAUAAACA
Molecule: long non-coding RNA, 756 nt
Organism: Cyprinus carpio (common carp)
Lineage: Eukaryota; Metazoa; Chordata; Actinopteri; Cypriniformes; Cyprinidae
Source: Ensembl